This 253-nucleotide ribosomal RNA is filed under the name uncultured bacterium. RNAcentral's name for it is "partial 16S ribosomal RNA". It matches the Rfam family "Bacterial small subunit ribosomal RNA", at positions 524 to 776 of the family's 1533-position model. The record is from RNAcentral.
UACGUAGGGUGCGAGCGUUGUCCGGAAUUAUUGGGCGUAAAGAGCUCGUAGGCGGUUUGUUGCGUCGGCUGUGAAAUCCCGAGGCUCAACCUCGGGUCUGCAGUCGAUACGAGCAAACUAGAGUGUUGCAGGGGAGACUGGAAUUCCUGGAGUAGCGGUGAAAUGCGCAGAUAUCAGGAGGAACACCGGUGGCGAAGGCGGGUCUCUGGGCAACAACUGACGCUGAGGAGCGAAAGCGUGGGGAGCGAACAGG